Molecule: long non-coding RNA, 307 nt
Organism: Oncorhynchus keta (chum salmon)
Lineage: Eukaryota; Metazoa; Chordata; Actinopteri; Salmoniformes; Salmonidae
Exons: 3
Source: RefSeq, a predicted model, not a curated record
GGUUAGAGUGUAGAGGAGGCAGGUAGCCUAGUGGUUAGAGUGUAGAGGAGGCAGGUAGUCUAGUGGUUAGAGUGUAGAGGAGGCAGGUAGACUAGUGGUUAGAGUGUAGAGGAGGCAGGUAGACUAGUGGUUAGAGUGUAGAGGAGGCAGGUAGUCUAGUGGUUAGAGUGUAGAGGAGGCAGGUAGACUAGUGGUUAGAGUGUAGAGGAGGCAGGUAGACUAGUGGUUAGAGUGUAGAGGAGGCAGGUAGACUAGUGGUUAGAGUGUAGAGGAGGCAGGUAGCCUAGUGGUUAGAGUGUAGAGGAGG